This is a long non-coding RNA of Onychomys torridus (southern grasshopper mouse), 3167 nucleotides long. RefSeq lists it as uncharacterized. The record is from RefSeq and is a predicted model, not a curated record. NCBI's taxonomy places the organism in Eukaryota, Metazoa, Chordata, Mammalia, Rodentia, Cricetidae. The transcript has 9 exons.
UGUUUUCUGCAGAGAAAAGGCUUUCAGACUUAAAUACUGAGGAGAUGAAUGAGUGGAGAGAGAAAUGAGUGAAUUAGGUAUCAGGAGAUCACAUGACUCUCUUGUCUAUGGGUGCUGGAGUGUAUAGACGCUAUGGAGUGACAUCCAGAUCCCCUUUUUUGCUUCUUCAAUGUUGGCCUGGUUCUGUUCCUCGUACGCCAUGGCUACCACAGCCAGGAUCAAGUUUAUCAGAGAAGCCGUGCUGCUGGAGAAGUCCCUGGCUGAUCCAUCUGUCUCUGCUAUGGACAAGAGAAGAUAAGAUGAUGGAGUAACAUCAGACUCUACGCCCAUCAACUCUCACCAACAUGGCUUCUGGAAUGUGAGCUGAACAAGCAUGACAAGUGUGACACCAAUAGAUAUGCCAAAGUGGAGGAGAAAGACCCACGAGAAGAAAACAUCUAUCCUCCCUCAAAUUUAUCCUCCAAAAAAUAUCAGAAGACUUGAAUUCUGAAGUAAAGUGAAUAGAAAGCAGUUAUAGCAGUUUGGGAGAUGGCUCCAUCUGUAAAGUGUCUGCUGCAUAUGACUUCAGAUUCCCUGUGACCAUGUAAAAGUCAGCUAUGAAGCAGGGAAUGUUUAUUUUAAAGAAUGAACAUGAAGAUAUUGCUUUGAAUGGAGAAUAAAUUACAGAGAAAGAAAUCAUCGAAGUAAAGAGAGAAGUGUUCAGUCUGAAGUAUGAUUCCACUAAACUGAGGCUGACAUGAACUAAUUUGGUGUCUGGGUAGACAGAAAUUCAGAUGGAUGAGAUACACUGGAGAAGUACUAUGGAACAGACGUAUGUUUUGGAGGGAAGAUCAUUAGAUCUUUUUAGAGGUGGACAGGAGCAAAUGGGGUCAUGAGGUAGAGCAAACAAUCAAAGGCAGCUUUGACACCGAAUGAAAUAUGAGUUACUUACUCAGAUUAUAAACGUUUAGAAAUACGUUAGAAAUCCAAGACAGAGAUUUAGGGAAAAUCAAACAUGAUGAGCAUUGGGACACCUAGCCUGGUUCAUUUACAUUAAUAAACUUUACCUCCCCUACAAGAGUAAUGAGAAGUUUUAGAAAAACAUCACACAAACCCUUCUCACACUUUGUAGCCAUGUGCACAUAUAAUACAAAUAAAUCAAAUAUGUCUUUAUUAUCUAAGCAAAUGCCUCAAAUGAUUUUUCCCUUACCAUAGAUAAAGGGACCUGAACAUGCUAAAUACAGUGAAUAAAAGGCACUGAUUCCUCCUCUGAAUUUCUUUGCAGCCAAAUCACCUCAGCAACAAGUAGCAAAAUACACAGAAGCUUUAUGGCUAGAUGGCUCCUAUGAUUACCUGCGGCUCCCUGAGGGGCUGUGGGGAGGAGGGGAGGAUAAGAAGGGCUGGAUGUGUUUGGCAGACAUCCAAAUCUGACUCAGCUCUCUCCAGGAGCAGCACCAGGUACAUUGAAAGCCCAGCUUUGCAUCACCGAACUCCAAGCACACUUCAUGCAUAUCCAGCCUUGGUGAUAAUGUGACAUUGUGUACCAACUACACAAUGGCUUACUUCUAAAAAGAAACUCUCCUUUAAACAACUGUAGUUGGUUUUUAAUACUGUUAAAAAUAUUGCCAUCAAUAGUCUAAACAGCUGGUAUACCCUCUAUUACAGCAAACACCAUAUUUUGUCUGGCAUCUUGUAGUGAGUGAGUUACUCUAACAGUCUUGAUAAUGUCAUACAUGGAAAUCAGAUAAAAGUGACUUUUUAAUUGUAUUUUAAAAACGAAAUUCCAUUUACUUUAAAUUGAAAGAAUGAAAACUCUAGUUUAAAUAUGUGAAAAUGACUAAAACAGAAAGAAAAAGAUGUCUUUUUCUAGUGCUCAGAAAAAGGAGCUGGAAAAGAAAAGCUUUCUAGGCAGAAGAGACCCCACAACACCGACUCACAUUCAGAAAAUCCCACCAUUUGUGUAAAAGCACAUGCUAAUUUGGUCUUUAUCUAUUCUAAAUUAACUUUGGAGAAAAAAAAAAAAAUUACCCGAGCUUCAUUCUGAAGAAAAUUGCCUUCAGAUUCAGAAAAUUUACUAUGGAUGUCAAAACUUAAAAAAGAAAAGGAAAUACCAUGUAAAACUUUUUGCUAUGAUUUCAAAGGCUGGCAUUAGUGUUUAGUUUGAUAAUCAUGUUUGGAUCAUUUGCAUAUAUACACAUGCAAAGAAAAAAGUUCACCCGGAGUUCACGCCAUUCAGUUGUUCUACCUAUUUAGUCAAAAUGAAAUAAAAUAUAUGUGUCACUAUACAGUGCUCAUUGGCCUGAAAAAAAAAAAAAAAAAAAAAACGGUUGAGAAAGGGGCUGGUCCAUUAUCUGCGUGUGUGUGCUUUUCCGGGAUGCGUAGGUCUUCUGACCUUUCCCAGAUAAAUCAGCUAAUCUCGUUUUUCGUUUGGCAGACACAGCUUUACCACACAAGCUUCUUUGCUAGUAAAGAAGUAUGAGCUGGCCCUGGUACUGAGACCCAUGGAACAAUUCUGCUGGAGUAGACCGAGAGAAAUAAAAGAUUAUUAAGCACCACUACCUUGUCUUUGCACAUUGCCAGAACCGCUCUGGGGAAGAUGAGAAAAGUUUUUGCUGGUUGGCCAAGUAGUCUAUCAAAACUGGUGACCUUCAGCUUCCAAAACAAGAGGGAAGUCCCUUGAUGUGGCUCAUCAGGCAAAGUUGUACAUUCCAAAGAUGGCGUAGAUGAACAUGACCAGGAAGAUGAGAAGACUAAUGUUCAGCAAUGCUGGAAGGGACAGCAUCAAAGGAAGCAUCAGAUCAUGGAACACCUUUGGUCCUUUCCCGGGAUGCAGGAUGUGGAUGACCCGAGAGAGAAGUAUCAGUUGCACAAGGGAGGGUGGCACCAAGUAUUGUCCUACUGUCAAAGGCAGCAACAAUCCUUAGUGUGAGAAGAGAUACAAGUAGGCAACAAAAUUACCACAAUGAAAACAAUUUAUUUUGCAAGUAAUCUAAUUUUCUAAGGCUCAUGAAUCUUCUGCCAAUCUAUCACUUAAAUUAACCUAUCUCAUGUAGCAUAUUGAAUAGUUGGCUAGGUAAAUAUUAAUUGUACCAAUGACAAGGUUAUGUACCAAACUCAGGAGACAUUUUUCUGCACUGUCAUCUGCUGUGGAUAUUGUUCUAUAUGCUGUGAAUGUGGUGCUCUGAUUG